GGACUCGCACAAGCGGUGGAACAUGUGGUUUAAUUCGAUGGCAAACGAGGAACCUCACCAGGGCUUGAAAUGCUUCUGAAGGCAGUUCGAAAGGAUUGCCGUCGCUCGCAAGAGUGACAGGAGCACAGGUGCUGCAUGGUUGCCGUCAGCACGUGUCGUGAGACGUUCCCUUCAAUGGGGUAACGUGCGCAACCCUCGCCUCGUGUUUUAUGUGUCACGAGGGACUGCCGUGGUAUACACGGAGGAAGGUGAGGACGACGUCAAAUCAGCAUGGCCCUCUGAUGCCCUGGGCUACACACAUGUUACAAUGGUUGUAAACAACGGGCUUGCCAAGCCGCAAGGCGGAGCUAAUCCCUAAAACACAACCUCAGUUCAGAUUGCGGGCUGAAACUCGCCCGCAUGAAGCUGGAAUCGCUAGUAAUCGCGGAUCAGAAUGCCGCGGUGAAUACGUUCUCGAGUCCU
RNAcentral lists this ribosomal RNA (462 nucleotides) under uncultured bacterium. Its description in RNAcentral is "bacterial SSU rRNA". It matches the Rfam family "Bacterial small subunit ribosomal RNA", at positions 917 to 1382 of the family's 1533-position model. The record is from RNAcentral.